AGAGUUUGAUUAUGGCUCAGAAUGAACGCUGGCGGCAUGGAUUAGGCAUGCAAGUCGAACGUACUCCCUUCGGGGAGAAAGUGGCGAAAGGGUGAGUAACACGUGAGCAACCUGCCUCCGGAUCCGGAAUAAUCCAGGGAAACUUGGUCUAAAACCGGAUGAAGACAUUGGUCCGCAUGGUCUAAUGUUAAAAUAUUUAUAGUCCGGAGAGGGGCUCGCGGCCCAUUAGCUUGUUGGCGGGGUAAUGGCCCACCAAGGCUACGACGGGUAGGUGGUCUGAGAGGAUGGUCACCCACACUGGGACUGAGACACUGCCCAGACUCCUACGGGAGGCUGCAGUCGAGAAUCUUCCGCAAUGGGCGCAAAGCCUGACGGAGCGAUGCCGCGUGAGGGAUGAAGGCCUUCGGGUUGUAAACCUCUGUCAUCCGGGACGAAAACAAUGACGGUACCGGAAAAGGAAGCCACGGCUAACCACGUGCCAGCAGCCGC
This 489-nucleotide ribosomal RNA is filed under the name uncultured bacterium. RNAcentral describes it as "bacterial SSU rRNA". It matches the Rfam family "Bacterial small subunit ribosomal RNA", at positions 8 to 518 of the family's 1533-position model. The record is from RNAcentral.